RNAcentral lists this ribosomal RNA (332 nucleotides) under uncultured Glomeromycotina. Its description in RNAcentral is "eukaryotic LSU rRNA". The record is from RNAcentral. Lineage: Eukaryota; Fungi; Glomeromycota.
CAGUCGUACCGACGGAAAAUCAGCUCUUCGAGUGCGGACUUGUGGGUUACGUGAGCUUUACGGCCUCGUUGUUUGCAAUGUUCGUUCUUUUUGGGUGUACUUUUUCGUAUGGUUGGCCAAUAUCAGUUUCGAUCGCUAUAAAAUGACCGGCGGAAUGUAGCUUCGAUCUUGUAUUGAAGUGUUAUAGCCUCUGGUAGAUGUGGUGAUUGGGACUGAGGAUUGCAACGAAUACCUUUUUGGGCUAUCCGUCUGAUCUCUGAAAGUUGCUUAGGUGCCGAAAGCGUGCUUACGGUUAUUUAAGUUGACGGUCAAAAGGUUAGAACGUGAUUAUA